This 496-nucleotide ribosomal RNA is filed under the name uncultured bacterium. RNAcentral's name for it is "bacterial SSU rRNA". It matches the Rfam family "Bacterial small subunit ribosomal RNA", at positions 1 to 497 of the family's 1533-position model. The record is from RNAcentral.
UUAGAGUUUGAUCCAUGGCUCAGAUUGAACGCUGGCGGCAUGCUUUACACAUGCAAGUCGAACGGCAGCACGGGGGCAACCCUGGUGGCGAGUGGCGAACGGGUGAGUAACACAUCGGAACGUGCCCAGUUGUGUGGGACAACCUGGCGAAAGCCAGGCUAAUACCGCAUGAGCUCGAUGAGAGGAAAGCGGGGACCGCAAGGCCUCGCGCGAUUGGAGCGGCCGAUGUCCGAUUAGCUAGUUGGUGGGGUAACGGCCCACCAAGGCUGCGAUCGGUAGCUGGUCUGAGAGGAUGAUCAGCCACACUGGGACUGAGACACGGCCCAGACUCCUACGGGAGGCAGCAGUGGGGAAUCUUGGACAAUGGGGGCAACCCUGAUCCAGCCAUGCCGCGUGAGUGAAGAAGGCCUUCGGGUUGUAAAGCUCUUUCAGUGGGAACGAAACGGUCCGCACCAAUACUGCGGACCAAUGACGGACUCACAGAAGAAGCACCGCA